Molecule: ribosomal RNA, 460 nt
Filed under: uncultured bacterium
Lineage: Bacteria
Description: partial 16S ribosomal RNA
Rfam family: Bacterial small subunit ribosomal RNA
Source: RNAcentral
CCUACGGGGUGCAGCAGUGAGGAAUAUUGGUCAAUGGACGAGAGUCUGAACCAGCCAAGUAGCGUGAAGGAUGACUGCCCUAUGGGUUGUAAACUUCUUUUAUAUGGGAAUAAAACGUUCCACGUGUGGGAUUUUGUAUGUACCAUAUGAAUAAGGAUCGGCUAACUCCGUGCCAGCAGCCGCGGUAAUACGGAGGAUCCGAGCGUUAUCCGGCUUUAUUGGGUUUAAAGGGAGCGUAGGUGGAUUGUUAAGUCAGUUGUGAAAGUUUGCGGCUCAACCGUAAAAUUGCAGUUGAAACUGGCAGUCUUGAGUACAGUAGAGGUGGGCGGAAUUCGUGGUGUAGCGGUGAAAUGCUUAGAUAUCACGAAGAACUCCGAUUGCGAAGGCAGUUCACUGGACUGCAACUGACACUGAGGCUCGAAAGUGUGGGUAUCAAACAGGAUUAGAUACCCCUGUAGUC